Molecule: long non-coding RNA, 256 nt
Filed under: Lathyrus oleraceus (garden pea)
Lineage: Eukaryota; Viridiplantae; Streptophyta; Magnoliopsida; Fabales; Fabaceae
Description: Pisum sativum (pea) long non-coding RNA (PSAT_LNC005935)
Source: RNAcentral
UAAAUUCGUUUGAUUUUAUGUUUUAAAGCGUAGAUUCCAAGUUAAAUUGUAUGUGAAAUUAGAUUUCGGUAAAAUUGGAGUUGAACUCAAUUUUAACUAAAUUAACACGUAAGUAAACCCUUUAAAAUAUCAUAGAAUCAUAAGCAAUUUUACUCGAUUGUAUUUUGAUGUACUCAAUUUUACUUGAUUUUAAAGAAAUUAAUAUUUAUUUUAUUAUAUAGUCUUAACUUUUAACAACUUUAAAAUUCUAUGAAGU